Molecule: ribosomal RNA, 482 nt
Filed under: uncultured bacterium
Lineage: Bacteria
Description: partial 16S ribosomal RNA
Rfam family: Bacterial small subunit ribosomal RNA
Source: RNAcentral
AUUGAACGCUGGCGGCAUGCCUUACACAUGCAAGUCGAACGGUAACAGGUCUUCGGAUGCUGACGAGUGGCGAACGGGUGAGUAAUACAUCGGAACGUGCCCAGACGUGGGGGAUAACGAGGCGAAAGCUUUGCUAAUACCGCAUACGAUCUAAGGAUGAAAGCAGGGGACCGCAAGGCCUUGCGCGUUUGGAGCGGCCGAUGGCAGAUUAGGUAGUUGGUGGGAUAAAAGCUUACCAAGCCGACGAUCUGUAGCUGGUCUGAGAGGACGACCAGCCACACUGGGACUGAGACACGGCCCAGACUCCUACGGGAGGCAGCAGUGGGGAAUUUUGGACAAUGGGCGAAAGCCUGGUCCAGCAAUGCCGCGUGCAGGAUGAAGGCCUUCGGGUUGUAAACUGCUUUUGUACGGAACGAAAAGGCUCUGGCUAAUACCUGGGGCACAUGACGGUACCGUAAGAAUAAGCACCGGCUAACUACGUG